AGUGAACGCUGGCGGCAGGCCUAACACAUGCAAGUCGAACGGCAGCACGGCAGUAGCAAUACUGUGGUGGCGAGUGGCGGACGGGUGAGGAAUACAUCGGGAUCUACCCUGUUGUGGGGGAUAACGUAGGGAAACUUACGCUAAUACCGCAUAAGAACUGAGGUUGAAAGCGGCGGACCGCAAGGCGUCGCGCGAUUGGAUGAACCGAUGUCCGAUUAGCUAGUUGGCGGGGUAAAGGCCCACCAAGGCGACGAUCGGUAGCUGGUCUGAGAGGACGACCAGCCACACUGGAACUGAGACACGGUCCAGACUCCUACGGGAGGCAGCAGUGGGGAAUAUUGGACAAUGGGCGCAAGCCUGAUCCAGCCAUGCCGCGUGGGUGAAGAAGGCCUUCGGGUUGUAAGCCUUUGUCCGG
Molecule: ribosomal RNA, 415 nt
Filed under: uncultured bacterium
Lineage: Bacteria
Description: bacterial SSU rRNA
Rfam family: Bacterial small subunit ribosomal RNA
Source: RNAcentral